Molecule: ribosomal RNA, 253 nt
Filed under: uncultured prokaryote
Description: partial 16S ribosomal RNA
Rfam family: Bacterial small subunit ribosomal RNA
Source: RNAcentral
ACGGGGGGAGCAAGCGUUGUUCGGAAUCACUGGGCAUAAAGGGCGCGUAGGCGGCUUUCUAAGUCAGGGGUGAAAUCCGGCAGCUCAACUGUCGCAGUGCCUUUGAUACUGGAGAGCUCGAGGGAGGUAGGGGUCUGUGGAACUUCCGGUGGAGCGGUGAAAUGCGUUGAUAUCGGAAGGAACGCCGGUGGCGAAAGCGACGGACUGGAUCUCUUCUGACGCUGAGGCGCGAAAGCCAGGGGAGCAAACGGGA